UACGUAGGGACCAAGCGUUGUCCGGAUUUAUUGGGCGUAAAGAGCGUGUAGGCGGCCAGGUAGGUCAGCUGUGAAAACUCGAGGCUCAACCUCGAGACGUCGGUUGAAACCACCUGGCUAGAGUCCGGAAGAGGAGAGUGGAAUUCCUGGUGUAGCGGUGAAAUGCGCAGAUAUCAGGAAGAACACCCGUGGCGAAGGCGGCUCUCUGGGACGGUACUGACGCUGAGACGCGAAAGCGUGGGGAGCGAACAGG
This 253-nucleotide ribosomal RNA is filed under the name uncultured bacterium. RNAcentral's name for it is "partial 16S ribosomal RNA". It matches the Rfam family "Bacterial small subunit ribosomal RNA", at positions 524 to 776 of the family's 1533-position model. The record is from RNAcentral.